Molecule: non-coding RNA, 29 nt
Filed under: Rattus norvegicus (Norway rat)
Lineage: Eukaryota; Metazoa; Chordata; Mammalia; Rodentia; Muridae
Source: RNAcentral
UAAGAAAUUUGGAUUUCAUUCUGACGCUU